Molecule: transfer RNA, 72 nt
Filed under: Euretidae gen. sp. DVL-2014
Lineage: Eukaryota; Metazoa; Porifera; Hexactinellida; Sceptrulophora; Euretidae
Description: tRNA-Arg
Rfam family: tRNA
About the family: Transfer RNA (tRNA) molecules are approximately 80 nucleotides in length. Their secondary structure includes four short double-helical elements and three loops (D, anti-codon, and T loops).
Source: RNAcentral
CUAUCAGUAAUUUAAAAGAAAAAAUAAUAAACAUCGGAUUUACUAAUACAAGUUCAAUUCCUGUCUGAUAAA